Molecule: long non-coding RNA, 1139 nt
Filed under: Sus scrofa (pig)
Lineage: Eukaryota; Metazoa; Chordata; Mammalia; Artiodactyla; Suidae
Description: lncRNA (ENSSSCG00015024124.1)
Source: RNAcentral
AAGAUAAGUUGGUAUGUCAUGAUCUUAAGCUUGAAGAAGAAAGGUCUUACACCUACAUGUCUCUGACCUCAGUAUAAGGUCAAUUUUUCCUUCAAAACUAAAAUCUUAGUCACCUGGCUUUAAAAGGUUUCAGAAGCCUCCAUAAAAGCCAUGAAAUAUAUUGUUGAAUAGAACCUUUGCUAUUCUGUUCCUACUUUCCAAAGCACUCAUGUGAGAAAAAGCAACCCCAAACAACCUCAGCCAAAAGUCUCUGCCUUCAAACUACAAGAUCUCUGGGUCACCUCUAAUAAAAUAACCAACAUAUCAUUCAAGAGACUAUUUUCAUUCCAGAUUCCAGCCAACUGUGAUUUCAGUUAAUUUAUAAAUAACCUUAAAAACUUAUGAAUGAAAUGCACCAUACUACACUGUGUAAAAGCAAUCAUGUUUAAUUAUGAUAAAAUUGACUAAUACAGUGAGCUUUAAUUAGAAAAUCUAAGAUUCUAAAUAAAUUGCUAGGAAAUUUCACAAUGGGGUCAAUGAAGAUUUCUCUACUUACAAUAUGAUCGUUAACAGACUAGUUAAUCUUAUUUGGAAUGAUAAGGCAAAAAUAGUAAAACCACACUUUUCCUAUAAAAAGUUACAUGUUAUCUUCUGUAAGGAUAGCUAUUGUAUAUGAAGAAACAAAGAUGUGAUCACUCUAUUGCACACCCAGACACAUUAGGGAAUCUUGUCUUAGAAUGAUGUAGUCAUAUUCUUCCUCUCCAUCGUCUUAAGCAUCUCAUUCCCUCUUUUCCGCUCGAAGACCUUCUUCUUCCUCCUCUUCUUCUUCUUCAUCAUAGUCAUCAUCAUCUUCCUCAUCCUGAGUGUCUUCUUUCAUUAAAUAUGAGAGGCCCACUUCCUCUUCUCCCUCUCCCAAUUCUGAGCCUGGUUCAUCUUCAUCCUCAUCAUCAUCCUUGUCCUCCUCAUAUCCUUCAGGUGGACCAGCUUCAUCUUUCUCUUCAUCUUCAUCAUCUCCAUCCUCAUCAGUCUCUUCUUCUGAGUCUUGUGCUUUAUUAUUCUCCUGGUCAAAUCCAUCUAAGUAUGUGAUUUGCUGCAGCAGCUCAAAAAUACUUUCUCUAUAAUCUUCCAGGUUUGUGAUCUCAGAGUUAAACAAGUCAAGA